UACGGCCAUAUCACGUUGAAACACCGGUUCUCGUACGAUCACUGAAGUUAAGCAACGUCUAGCCUGGUCAGUAUCUAAAUGUGUGACCACUUAAGAAUACCAGGUACUGUAA
This is a non-coding RNA of Acanthosepion pharaonis, 112 nucleotides long. The record is from the annotation of a GenBank genome assembly. Lineage: Eukaryota; Metazoa; Mollusca; Cephalopoda; Sepiida; Sepiidae.